Molecule: long non-coding RNA, 693 nt
Filed under: Naja naja (Indian cobra)
Lineage: Eukaryota; Metazoa; Chordata; Lepidosauria; Squamata; Elapidae
Description: lncRNA (ENSNNAG00000008219.1)
Source: RNAcentral
AAGCAAAAUCUUAGCAGGUAUUAAUAAGAAUAGUCUUGACAAACUAGUAAUUGCCAUGCUUUCAGGUAGAAGAGAGCAAAUUCCAAUCAAAAGUCACAUUUGUCUCAUAUUUCACUUUUUAGAACAUAACUGAGCAGUCAUUUGGAAUUAGAAUUUCAAUGCCUUAGAAAAGCAAGGUGCUCAUAUCCAUCGUUAAAAAUAAUAACAUUUUUAUCCUAUUUUGCUCCAUUUUCCACUUUCCACAACUGCAUCCAGAUUUGGAGAUGGAUAGUAAUGGUUCAGCAUCUAUUUCAGAGCCUUUGAACCAAUCCCAACUGAGCUCAGAAUUGGAGCUUGGGAUAUAUGUCUUACAAACUGGAGCCAUCCGUUUGUGUCAACAUUAUUUUUUUUUUUAACCAGUUUUAACCUAAGUCCUAUUUCUAGAGCUUUCAUACACAUUUCAUGUACAUUGCUAUUAUUUCUAAUUAAGUACAAGGGAAUGGUGUAGAAAAAACAAAGAACAAAGGGUAAAUGUUGAAAUCAUAUUUUUUUAAAAAGCUGAACAGCCAUAUUAUUAUAUACAAAGCUGCCAAGGUAUAAGUAGAAACAGCUAUGGUAUAGUUGUCAUAGCUACAUUGCAAGAGCUUCAGAUGAGGUACAUUUAUUGGGAUAAAAAUAACCAGAAUAUGCUGAUGUGGUUAGUGUAUGUUGGGC